Molecule: long non-coding RNA, 1156 nt
Filed under: Zonotrichia albicollis (white-throated sparrow)
Lineage: Eukaryota; Metazoa; Chordata; Aves; Passeriformes; Passerellidae
Description: lncRNA (ENSZALG00000002049.1)
Source: RNAcentral
ACCCACUAUGCCGUUGAACAGGCAACACUGCCUGGGAUGGCUGCACAACCCUGCCCUGUGCUUACCAGGGCUCAUCGGCUCUGAACAGCAUCUUGAAGGGGGCCCUGGAUCGCUGCUGAGCUGCCCUGCAGCAGGUCGGGUAUCAGGCAUAGCUCACUGUGUCCUGCUCCCCAGCAAAACCAGUCCAGGAUGGGGUGAUGGAGCACGGCUGCAGUGGUGCCUGCAGGAGUGCUGGGUACUCACACAGCUGCUCCACGCCCAGCUUCAGUUGCUUGACUGAGCAGUGAUUGAUUUUCUUGCACAACACCAGUUCUGACAGUGCCUGACAAGCCACCUUUGCCCAGGCUAUGGUCCGUGGGGACCCUCCAUGCCAGGCUGCUGGGUGGGUGUGCAGGGCAGAGCCUCUUCAGCCCAUCCAUCCCCCACAAUGCAUCAAGAUUUGUUUCAGUCUCGGGUUUCUCCUCAGCUGCUGGGCGCAGCCCGUGUGGCAUCGCCCUGAGGGAGCCCAGCAUCAAGCAGGCACACCCCGCACCGCGUCCUCCCUGCUCUGGUGGCCGCAGCAGGGCAGCUGUGCGCGCUGCUCAAUGGGCAGCGUGUAUGAAAAUGCCCCCGGUUGCCUCUGGCUCUGUCACAAGCAGCAUUUAGCCACGACUCGGAGAAGGAGCAGAAGGGCUGGAAGCUGUCAGCCCUGCUUAAAACGGCCGCGGCUCAGUGCUAAUGUGCAGCACAGCAGCUGCGAGGCACGCAGCCAGGCCGGGCACAGCACAGCUCCCCACACGGCCCUGUGUGCUGUGACCAGCUCCUGCACCGGUCCCCAUGUCCCCCGGAACCUCCUGCACCCUCUGGGAGCCUCUGGGCAGCCACCGAGGGUUGUGUGGGAUCUUGGACACUGUGUCAGCCCGGCGUCUGUCACCACAGCAGAGCUCUGGAGCGCUGCUCAUCCCACUCAGACCCGGCCUGCCAAGCAGCUGGCACAGCUGGGGAAGCCUUUUGCCAGCGGAACAGCCCUGGUGCUGGGCCGUGCAAUAAAGGGUCCCGUGGCAGCAGGCGCUUGGCCACAGGAAGGGACAAGUCAUCCCCUUUCUCCCCGGUGGCUCCUGGGGUGCUUUCCCCAGAUCCCCCCAUCAGAGCUCACAGCAGGUCAGCACCGGCCUCG